AGAGUUUGAUCAUGGCUCAGAUUGAACGCUGGCGGCAGGCCUAACACAUGCAAGUCGAGCGGUAACACAGGGAGCUUGCUCCCGGGUGACGAGCGGCGGACGGGUGAGUAAUGUCUGGGAAACUGCCUGAUGGAGGGGGAUAACUACUGGAAACGGUAGCUAAUACCGCAUAACGUCGCAAGACCAAAGAGGGGGACCUUCGGGCCUCUUGCCAUCAGAUGUGCCCAGAUGGGAUUAGCUAGUAGGUGGGGUAACGGCUCACCUAGGCGACGAUCCCUAGCUGGUCUGAGAGGAUGACCAGCCACACUGGAACUGAGACACGGUCCAGACUCCUACGGGAGGCAGCAGUGGGGAAUAUUGCACAAUGGGCGCAAGCCUGAUGCAGCCAUGCCGCGUGUAUGAAGAAGGCCUUCGGGUUGUAAAGUACUUUCAGCGGGGAGGAAGGCGCUGAGGUUAAUAACCUCAGCGAUUGACGUUACCCGCAGAAGAAGCACCGGCUAACUCCGGGCCAGCAGCCGCGGUAAUACGGAGGGUGCAAGCGUUAAUCGGAAUACUGGGCGUAAAGCGCACGCAGGCGGUCUGUCAAGUCGGAUGUGAAAUCCCCGGGCUCAACCUGGGAACUGCAUUCGAAACUGGCAGGCUAGAGUCUUGUAGAGGGGGGUAGAAUUCCAGGUGUAGCGGUGAAAUGCGUAGAGAUCUGGAGGAAUACCGGUGGCGAAGGCGGCCCCCUGGACAAAGACUGACGCUCAGGUGCGAAAGCGUGGGGAGCAAACAGGAUUAGAUACCCUGGUAGUCCACGCCGUAAACGAUGUCGACUUGGAGGUUGUGCCCUUGAGGCGUGGCUUCCGGAGCUAACGCGUUAAGUCGACCGCCUGGGGAGUACGGCCGCAAGGUUAAAACUCAAAUGAAUUGACGGGGGCCCGCACAAGCGGUGGAGCAUGUGGUUUAAUUCGAUGCAACGCGAAGAACCUUACCUACUCUUGACAUCCAGAGAACUUUCCAGAGAUGGAUUGGUGCCUUCGGGAACUCUGAGACAGGUGCUGCAUGGCUGUCGUCAGCUCGUGUUGUGAAAUGUUGGGUUAAGUCCCGCAACGAGCGCAACCCUUAUCCUUUGUUGCCAGCGGUCCGGCCGGGAACUCAAAGGAGACUGCCAGUGAUAAACUGGAGGAAGGUGGGGAUGACGUCAAGUCAUCAUGGCCCUUACGAGUAGGGCUACACACGUGCUACAAUGGCGCAUACAAAGAGAAGCGACCUCGCGAGAGCAAGCGGACCUCAUAAAGUGCGUCGUAGUCCGGAUUGGAGUCUGCAACUCGACUCCAUGAAGUCGGAAUCGCUAGUAAUCGUAGAUCAGAAUGCUACGGUGAAUACGUUCCCGGGCCUUGUACACACCGCCCGUCACACCAUGGGAGUGGGUUGCAAAAGAAGUAGGUAGCUUAACCUUCGGGAGGGCGCUUACCACUUUGUGAUUCAUGACUGGGGUGAAGUCGUAACAAGGUAACCGU
This 1502-nucleotide ribosomal RNA is filed under the name proteobacterium symbiont of Nilaparvata lugens. Its description in RNAcentral is "bacterial SSU rRNA". It matches the Rfam family "Bacterial small subunit ribosomal RNA". Lineage: Bacteria; Pseudomonadati; Pseudomonadota. The record is from RNAcentral.